CCUACGGGUGGCUGCAGUGAGGAAUAUUGGUCAAUGGCCGAGAGGCUGAACCAGCCAAGUCGCGUGAGGGAAGACGGCCCUACGGGUUGUAAACCUCUUUUGUCGGGGAGCAAAGCGAGUCACGUGUGACUCAUUGAGAGUACCCGAAGAAAAAGCAUCGGCUAACUCCGUGCCAGCAGCCGCGGUAAUACGGAGGAUGCGAGCGUUAUCCGGAUUUAUUGGGUUUAAAGGGUGCGCAGGCGGAGGUGGAAGUCAGCGGUCAAAUUGCGGGGCUCAACCCCGGAAUGCCGUUGAAACCGGCACCCCUGAGUGCGCGAGAAGUAUGCGGAAUGCGUGGUGGAGCGGUGAAAUGCAUAGAUAUCACGCAGAACCUCGAUUGCGAAGGCAGCAUACCGGCGCGCAACUGACGCUCAUGCACGAAAGCGUGGGUAUCGAACAGGAUUAGAUACCCUUGUAGUC
RNAcentral lists this ribosomal RNA (459 nucleotides) under uncultured bacterium. Its description in RNAcentral is "partial 16S ribosomal RNA". It matches the Rfam family "Bacterial small subunit ribosomal RNA", at positions 338 to 795 of the family's 1533-position model. The record is from RNAcentral.